RNAcentral lists this ribosomal RNA (393 nucleotides) under uncultured bacterium. RNAcentral's name for it is "partial 16S ribosomal RNA". It matches the Rfam family "Bacterial small subunit ribosomal RNA", at positions 523 to 918 of the family's 1533-position model. The record is from RNAcentral.
AUACGGAGGAUGCGAGCGUUAUCCGGAUUUAUUGGGUUUAAAGGGAGCGUAGGUGGGAUAUUAAGUCAGCUGUGAAAGUUUGGGGCUCAACCUUAAAAUUGCAGUUGAUACUGGUUUCCUUGAGUACGGUACAGGUGGGCGGAAUUCGUGGUGUAGCGGUGAAAUGCUUAGAUAUCACGAAGAACUCCGAUCGCGAAGGCAGCUCACCGGGCCGGAACUGACACUGAUGCUCGAAAGUGCGGGUAUCAAACAGGAUUAGAUACCCUGGUAGUCCGCACAGUAAACGAUGAAUACUCGCUGUUUGCGAUAUACAGUAAGCGGCCAAGCGAAAGCAUUAAGUAUUCCACCUGGGGAGUACGCCGGCAACGGUGAAACUCAAAUGAAUUGACGGGG